RNAcentral lists this ribosomal RNA (465 nucleotides) under uncultured bacterium. RNAcentral describes it as "partial 16S ribosomal RNA". It matches the Rfam family "Bacterial small subunit ribosomal RNA", at positions 28 to 507 of the family's 1533-position model. The record is from RNAcentral.
GACGAACGCUGGCGGCGUGCUUAACACAUGCAAGUCGAACGGAAAGGCCCUGCUUGCAGGGUACUCGAGUGGCGAACGGGUGAGUAACACGUGGGUGAUCUGCCCUGCACUUCGGGAUAAGCCUGGGAAACUGGGUCUAAUACCGGAUAGGAGCCAUUUUUAGCGUGAUGGUUGGAAAGUUUUUUCGGUGUAGGAUGAGCUCGCGGCCUAUCAGCUUGUUGGUGGGGUAAUGGCCUACCAAGGCGACGACGGGUAGCCGGCCUGAGAGGGUGGGCGGCCACAUUGGGACUGAGAUACGGCCCAGACUCCUACGGGAGGCAGCAGUGGGGAAUAUUGCACAAUGGGCGCAAGCCUGAUGCAGCGACGCCGCGUGUGGGAUGACGGCCUUCUGGUUGUAAACUCCUUUCGCUAGGGACGAAGCUUUUUGUGACGGUACCUAGAGAAGAAGCACCGGCUAACUACGUG